This 301-nucleotide ribosomal RNA is filed under the name uncultured bacterium. RNAcentral describes it as "partial 16S ribosomal RNA". It matches the Rfam family "Bacterial small subunit ribosomal RNA", at positions 509 to 807 of the family's 1533-position model. The record is from RNAcentral.
CAGUCGCCGCGGGAAUACAGAGGGUGCGAGCGUUAAUCGGAUUUACUGGGCGUAAAGCGUGCGUAGGCGGCUUUUUAAGUCGGAUGUGAAAUCCCUGAGCUUAACUUAGGAAUUGCAUUCGAUACUGGGAAGCUAGAGUAUGGGAGAGGAUGGUAGAAUUCCAGGUGUAGCGGUGAAAUGCGUAGAGAUCUGGAGGAAUACCGAUGGCGAAGGCAGCCAUCUGGCCUAACACUGACGCUGAGGUACGAAAGCAUGGGGAGCAAACAGGAUUAGAUACCCCUGUAGUCCCUGUCUCUUAUAC